RNAcentral lists this ribosomal RNA (403 nucleotides) under Verrucomicrobiota bacterium. RNAcentral describes it as "Verrucomicrobia bacterium partial 16S ribosomal RNA". It matches the Rfam family "Bacterial small subunit ribosomal RNA", at positions 355 to 776 of the family's 1533-position model. The record is from RNAcentral. Lineage: Bacteria; Pseudomonadati; Verrucomicrobiota.
UGGGGAAUAUUGCACAAUGGGCGCAAGCCUGAUGCAGCAACGCCGCGUGAACGAUGAAGGUCUUCGGAUCGUAAAGUUCUGUUGCAGGGGAAGAUAAUGACGGUACCCUGUGAGGAAGCCCCGGCUAACUACGUGCCAGCAGCCGCGGUAAUACGUAGGGGGCUAGCGUUAUCCGGAUUUACUGGGCGUAAAGGGUGCGUAGGUGGUCUUUCAAGUCGGUGGUUAAAGGCUACGGCUCAACCGUAGUUAGCCUCCGAAACUGGAAGACUUGAGUGCAGGAGAGGAAAGUGGAAUUCCUAGUGUAGCGGUGGAAUGCGUAGAUAUUAGGAGGAAUACCGGUGGCGAAGGCGACUUUCUGGACUUGAACUGACGCUGAGGCACGAAAGCGUGGGGAGCAAACAGG